UUUCACGGCUACAUUCAGAAAUAAGCAUCAGAAACAGUCAGAUCUUUGAAGAAAGCUUCUGCAAGCCGUGUUAGUACUGAAGUGAGAGAUCAUUGGGGGAAGGUUGGUGUCGUGAUUU
RNAcentral lists this ribosomal RNA (118 nucleotides) under Edhazardia aedis USNM 41457. The record is from RNAcentral. Lineage: Eukaryota; Fungi; Microsporidia; Culicosporidae.